This 490-nucleotide ribosomal RNA is filed under the name uncultured bacterium. Its description in RNAcentral is "bacterial SSU rRNA". It matches the Rfam family "Bacterial small subunit ribosomal RNA", at positions 903 to 1397 of the family's 1533-position model. The record is from RNAcentral.
AAAGGAAUAGACGGGGACCCGCACAAGCGGUGGAUGAUGUGGUUUAAUUCGAUGCAACGCGAAAAACCUUACCCACCUUUGACAUGGCAGGAAUUCCGAAGAGAUUUGGAAGUGCUCGAAAGAGAACCUGCACACAGGUGCUGCAUGGCUGUCGUCAGCUCGUGUCGUGAGAUGUUGGGUUAAGUCCCGCAACGAGCGCAACCCUUGCCAUUAGUUGCUACGAAAGGGCACUCUAAUGGGACUGCCGGUGACAAACCGGAGGAAGGUGGGGAUGACGUCAAGUCCUCAUGGCCCUUAUAGGUGGGGCUACACACGUCAUACAAUGGCCGGUACAAAGGGUAGCCAACCCGCGAGGGGGAGCCAAUCCCAUAAAGCCGGUCGUAGUCCGGAUCGCAGUCUGCAACUCGACUGCGUGAAGUCGGAAUCGCUAGUAAUCGUGGAUCAGCAUGUCACGGUGAAUACGUUCCCGGGUCUUGUACACACCGCCCGU